Small nucleolar RNA from Grammomys surdaster, 132 nucleotides. RefSeq annotates it as small nucleolar RNA SNORA17. NCBI's taxonomy places the organism in Eukaryota, Metazoa, Chordata, Mammalia, Rodentia, Muridae. The transcript has a single exon. The record is from RefSeq and is a predicted model, not a curated record.
GCCGCCCCUAGAGGCACUACAGAUAUGGCUGCUGUGUCACAUGUGCGUCAGCAGGUGGCAGAGAGGAGAAAGGCUAUGUCUACACUUGGUGUUCUGACCUAUGGACAUCUGAGUAAUUAGUAGCCUAACAUU